This 565-nucleotide ribosomal RNA is filed under the name uncultured Rhodospirillaceae bacterium. Its description in RNAcentral is "bacterial SSU rRNA". It matches the Rfam family "Bacterial small subunit ribosomal RNA", at positions 335 to 916 of the family's 1533-position model. Lineage: Bacteria; Pseudomonadati; Pseudomonadota; Alphaproteobacteria; Rhodospirillales; Rhodospirillaceae. The record is from RNAcentral.
ACUCCUACGGGAGGCAGCAGUGGGGAAUAUUGGACAAUGGGCGCAAGCCUGAUCCAGCAAUGCCGCGUGAGUGAGGAAGGCCUUAGGGUUGUAAAGCUCUUUCGGCGGGGACGAUGAUGACGGUACCCGCAGAAGAAGCCCCGGCUAACUUCGUGCCAGCAGCCGCGGUAAUACGAAGGGGGCGAGCGUUGUUCGGAUUUACUGGGCGUAAAGGGCGCGCAGGCGGCCAUUAUUUGUCGAGUGUGAAAGCCCCGGGCUUAACCUGGGAACUGCGCUCGAAACGGGAUGGCUUGAGGUCGGGAGAGGAGCGUGGAAUUCCCAGUGUAGAGGUGAAAUUCGUAGAUAUUGGGAAGAACACCGGUGGCGAAGGCGGCGCUCUGGACCGAUACUGACGCUGAGGCGCGAAAGCGUGGGGAGCAAACAGGAUUAGAUACCCUGGUAGUCCACGCUGUAAACGAUGUGUGCUAGACGUUGGGGAGCCUAGCUCUUCGGUGUCGCAGCUAACGCGGUAAGCACACCGCCUGGGGAGUACGGCCGCAAGGUUAAAACUCAAAUGAAUUGACGG